Long non-coding RNA from Clupea harengus (Atlantic herring), 609 nucleotides. The record is from Ensembl. Lineage: Eukaryota; Metazoa; Chordata; Actinopteri; Clupeiformes; Clupeidae.
AAGGACCAUCUAGAAUAGACUGUUACCAGCAACAAGUUCAAAAGCCAGGGUCUGUCAUGGUAUGGGGUUGUGUCAGUGCCCUUGGCAAAGGUAACUUACACUUCUGUGAUGGCACCAUUAAUGCAGAAAAAUGAACUCGCCUUGCCUUGAUCAGUGACUGGAGCAUUAAGCCAACAGGCAAUGCUGGGGAGAGCCAUAGAAGACCGUGCUGGCAGUACACAAUGGGUGGUAACCAGACAAUCGGUGAGAGAGAAUGCAAUGGCCUGCCAUGAGUCCAGACCUCAACCCAAUUGAACACUUGUGGGAUCAGCUUGGGCGUGCUGUACGUGUUAGAGUGGCCAACACAACCACGCUGGCUGACCUGCAACGACUCCUGGUUGAGGAAUGGAAUGCCAUCCCACAGCAACGUGUGACCAGGUUGGUGACCAGCAUGAGGAGGUGGUGCCAGGCUGUUGUGGCUACGUAUGGAUCUUCCACCCGCUCCUGAUGGUGUAUUAAAAUGAAUAAAGGGUAAAAUUGCCAAUAUGUCUUGUUUGUUCCUUGUUACUGAUCGAGAGUUCAAUCAUCUAAUCCACUGAACAACUCAAAACAAGAGUGAAUACCAACAGC